RNAcentral lists this long non-coding RNA (5820 nucleotides) under Homo sapiens (human). RNAcentral's name for it is "HSALNT0402389". The record is from RNAcentral. Lineage: Eukaryota; Metazoa; Chordata; Mammalia; Primates; Hominidae.
UCAUCUGGGCUGCAGUUGGUGACUGCUCGAAGGGGUGGGAGGAACAGUAUAAAGUCCUGUCCCCUUCCUGCCUUCAAGGGCACCCCUGAAGGACCAUAUCCACUGUGGACCCCCUUGGGAUCAGCCGAGGUCUGUAGAGGUGACAUUGCAGCCCAGCACCUCCCUCCUCCGCCCUGCCCUCCUCUGUCCUCCUUCCACAGGUGUGGCCAAGGGCACUGCCCAGUUGGCCUGUGACCCCCAGCUGAGGCUGCUUCCUGGGCAGCUGACUUCAAGUUUGUGACCUGAGCUCUCCAGGCCCCCGAGCGGCUGGUGCCUUGGCCCUGCAGUUCUGCGGCCAAGACUCCUCCUCUGGGAUCUCGUCUUACCCUGCUGCGGGUGCCAGGGCUGCAUGAAGCAAGGGCGAAAGUCCCCUUCGCCCGGGCGCUGCCCUCUGCCUGCUGUCCCCUGUGCUCCUGUUCCCCGUGGCUGCCCAGGGACAGGUGUGUGGGAUGGAGGACGCGGGAGAGGCUGAGUCCUCCCCAGUGGACCCCCAGAUGCAGACCCUGAGGCAAGGGAGAGUGAGAAAGUGAAGGAAAGAACACAGCUGGAAAUGCAACCAAGAAGGAACCCCAGCCCGGACCACUGUGAGCAAGGAGAGCCGAGCCCCGGGGAGCCCUGAGACAGUGUGGGAGUGGAGGCCUGGGGCGCCUCCAGGCAAGGCAGCGGGAUGUCUAUGCCCCAAGCCCUGCCAGUCGUGGAUGGAGACGCACACUUUAGUGCGGGCUCCAGAGACAGAGGGAGCCCCAGGCCGAGAGCUGUGGGUGCUGGGCAGGUGGGCAUUGGCCAGCAUUGCCCCCACUCAUGGCGGGUCCACCUUAAUUCGACGGGUGUGACACUCUCCUCACACAUGUGCACAUUCAAGAGGCAACUGUCUGUUUCUAUAACUGGGUGCAUUUCGGUCUGGAGCCGUCGAGCCGGGUGGUGGCCAUGAAUCCCAGGCAACUUGGGGGGCCCAAUCCAGGGUUGCCUUUUGGGGGCCUUGGGGCGGCUAGUGCAGUUCCACAUGCUGUUAAGGACCUUGAGAUGGGAGAUUAUUCUGGAUGGUCAGGGUGGGCACAGUUUAAUCACAGCCCCUCUAAGAGGGACUGGGAGGGUCAGGGUCAGAGGAGGAGAGGGGACGACGGAAGGGAGAGAGAGGCUGGGAGAUGCCGUGCAGCCAAGGAGGGCAGGAACCUCUAGAAACCACAAAAGGCGAGGACACAAUCUCUCCCCUGAGGCAGAGACCCAGGGCUGCCCCGCACAGUCGCGCAGAUCGUGUACUGCCCUGCUCCUGGGGCUCAUUCACACAGGUUGCCAUGGCUGUGGGGUCCCUGGGGCUGGGCUAUCUGCCAACCUGGGGGACGCUGCACCCUGUUUUCUGUCCUGUCUACUCCAGCUUUUCACACUCUCUGUUGCCCUUGUCCUUGGGCAUCUCAGUGACUCGAAGGAAUUGGGUCUUGAGACACAGCCGAGCCUGUGAGCGCUGACCUGUGUAAAGAAGACACCAGAAUGAGAUGUCUCCACACACAGAGAGCUGCAGCCGAUGCCGGCCGGUGACUUGGGACUUGGAUGCUUAACAGGAGGCUCCCCCUCUCUUGGGAGGUAGAGAGCAGUGAGGAAGGGGACUCAGCCUCCAUGCCUCCCGCCAGCCCAGCUGCGCCCGAAUCACCUCCCUCCUGAAAGGAUGUCAGCCUCUGCUUGGACACCGUGGAGACAGGGCCCUCCUUGUGCUUCAGAAGCAUCAACGUGUCAGAAAAUCAUCUUCACGCCAAGUCUGGAAAAAAUGGCUUUGAGGUUGUGCACACAAAGGAAGGAGGGAGAGCCCCAGGUGUCGCGGAGGACCAUGCGGCUGACAGAGCCAGCAGGGCGGUGGCGUGUGAGCCGUGCUCUGGAUAUAUAAGGAUCUGACGCUGCUGGCAAUGUCUGAGCUCUAUGCUCGCCCAUCUGUCGGCUGCUAUCAUCACCGGGUGGGAUUAGCGGAGAUCCACUCUUUCAUAUUUAAAUCUUCACAAGAGAAUGAAUCACUUUUAUAAUAAAAGAAAAAGACCGUCCAUGUUGUUAAUGUGCACACAGCAAGUUGGAAGGCCGGGGAGGGCAGCGGGUGGGGACGCUGACCCAGGCGCCCCCCUGCUGCCUGGAACAGCCCCAGGCCUGCUCCACUGUCCCCUCGGGGUUCCCUGUCGAAGAGGCCAAAGAGUGGAGGGGCUGGUGCCUAGAGGGUGUGGAGCUGCAGGUGCACAGUACAGCUGGCACCUGGCAGAGGUGGUUCAUUAUCAAGCAAAGGAUGAACAAGGCACUUGGAGCCCCUUCACAACUGGAACCUCCACUGCAGGCACAAGGCUGGGCUGGACUGGGGUCUCCUCCUCUCCAUGACAGCCUUGGGCAACCUGGAGCCCGCCACUGCCCCUCCCCAGGUGCUGUCCCCUUGAAGCUUCUCCCAACGGUUUAGUAUUGUAGAGUUGGCACAUCUCACGUGAACAAGAACAGCCAUCACUGAAACGAAUGCUCAGAGCGGACCGGCGUUUUUUCCCAGCCACCCUGGGGUGAGCAUGGCUCACGUUGCACACCAGGAAGCCCAGGAGCGGGGAAUUGAACCAGUUCCAUCCAGUCCCUGGCAAGGGACCACCCUGUGUCCGAAGGCCACGUUCAUUUUUCAGAUUGCAGGAAAUGGCUCAGCCUGAAGUUCAAGUUUUCCUCUGAGCUCCUGUUGAUUAAUGUGGCAAAGAGAGCAUGCUGUGGAAUAUGCUGGCAGAAAUGUCAGGAUUGCUAAAGCGUUUCACUGCAAAUGCUCAGGCUGGUGGGGAGGUGCCUUGGCACAAUUCUGCAGAGGGUAUUUGGCAAUAGCAACAAAAUCACAAAGGCACAAACCCUGUGACCCAGAAACACCAAUUUCACGGUAGGAGCUGCUGCCGCAGGGGUUUGCCCAGAGCACAGGGAAAGAUGUGCUCACUGUACUCGCUGGGACAAGCAAGAGAUUGGAAAGAGCUCAGUGUCGUCAUUCAGGGUGUCUCCUGUGUCUCCUGAUCGCUAUAAGGGGUUCCAGGCUGGUCCCCGGGGGAGGAGCUCCUGAUCAGACGCAGGCCCUGCCCCCUCCCCAGCACAGAGCUGGUGAAGGAAGUGGACAUUCAUUCAUUCAGGAUGUUCUGAGUAUUUCAGCACCACCAGGCCCUGGGAAAUCAAGGUCUCAGCAGAUGACGGUGGCAGUUUGAUUUUUGGCUGAAUUGUCCUCUACAGCAGUCACUGGGGGUUGCGUUUUUCUCACACUGCCCAGUCAUGCAGCACACGGAAGCCAUCCAUAUGCCAUGGGAAAAUGCUUUGUCUCCUGCCUGGGCGCCCCCCGAGCCAGUGAGUACAGUCCUGCCUAGUGGCAAGAUCUUGGCGUCUUUGGCUGCCACACUUGCGGGUUCGAUCCUGUGCCGGGGACGGAGGCUGCCCCCUCUCUGCCAAGCUGCCCGGGAUCCUCAUGCUGAAUUUCUGAUUCCAAGAAGCUUUUGGGUGUCUUGGAGAAGCGGCCUGUACUAGCUCUGUGGCUGGUGGCUGUGAUUGCGGUAGAAAGUCCAGGGGUAUCUGCCGUGGGAUUCCCUGGGCUGGGCUGCAGGGGCCACCUCCCUCCCAACCUCCUGCCACAAGGGAGGGCAGAGCCACAUGGCCUCAACAGUCCAAGUCAGGAUGGUCCCGGUGAGGACAAUCCUCGCCGUGUCUCGCUAAUGAAGGCGGCGGUGGCCAUGGGACAGGGCAGCCACUGAGAGGUGCUGGGGUCGUGGGAAUGUCGGCAGGUUUUCUCCCUGGCCCCCUCUGGGCACCGGCUGAGGCACCUCUGGAGGUCCUUCCUGCUCCCAUCGAAGCUCCCGGCUCCACUCAGAAGCACUCAGAGGCCUUCAGGAAGGAGGCGGCCUGAGUUUACCCUCACAUUCCAUUUGAGCAGAGUUCUGCUAACAGAUCAGAGGACAUGCAUGGAGAGGGGGCACUCAAACCCCCGGGAGGCAGCAUCCUGCACCUGCCAGCCCAGCGCCCCUUGCUCGUGCCACCUGUGUGGGCUCCUGAGAGCCACCACCACCGCUGCUGACCCUGGCUGGGUGGCGGGUCUGUUCUGCCCUCCCCUGCUUGGGCGUCCGGAUCUGAGGCCGUCCCGCGUCCCUCCUGUUCUCCUGCUCUGGCCGAAGUCCACCUUCUGCAGGACAACAAGGUGCUGGUGAGACUGGGGGCAGGUAAAAACUCCCUCUUCCCACUCCGGCUGCUGGGAGCGGGGACAGGGGAGGCCAGGCCCAGCCUCAGGAGAUAAACCCAUUCCCUGUGAGUCACCGCAGCCCGGGGAUAGUUUAAACAGCACCAAUGUAUCCAACACAGAUUUUAAAUGUCAAAACAUUUAAAAUACCAACCUCACCAACACGGCUGGCUGCAAAAAUAGCUACCUCUGGGGGCUGGUGGGUUGUAGGGUCUGGCCCCGGCCCCCUGGCUGCCCCCGUUGGAGGAUCCUGCCGUUUCCAGAGGGAGGGAACAGAGUCUGCCGCAGGGCCACGUGUGGGGACAGAGGCGGGGCCUUGCAGAGGAAGUCUGGCCCUCCCCCGCCUCCCCCACCUGCCCACCCUGGAGACUGAAGCCGAGUAGGAUUGGGGGGUGAGGGGAAUGCACCCCGACUCCUGGGGCCGGCCUUCUCUUCCCAGACGCACAGCUGGAAGCAGGGGCUUUGGCUUGCGCCGUCCUUUCCUGUAAUCUCUCCCGCUCUGGGUAAGGAGCUGCCCCCCACCUCCACAACAAGCAAAGGGAGCACGUCCAUCGGCAGCGCGGGGACUCGGAGGAAAGCCUGCGAUGCUGCUGGGGGUGAGGGGAGGUGAGGGGAGGACUGAGCGAGGGGAAGGACAGGCCCCUUCCUGGACAGAAGGACCCGUUGAGAUCACGUCUGUGCAUCCAGUCCCUAUAAAACACGAGAGCUGUUGUGCAUAGACACAUGGACUCUACAGUUCAAGUGGGAAAUAGUCUCAGAAUGGCCAGAAAGGCUCUUGAAAGGCAGGUCGCUAGGACAAGGGAGCGUCAGCCUUGCCAGCCACUGGGAUGUACCUGAGUGUCACUGAGAGUGACCUUAAUGAGGAGAAUUUGGCAUCGACAGUGCCAGAUCAGACAGAAGCUCCAUCUGUGAUGGAGACAGCAUCCAGAUCAUCGGGGAGAAGACUGGCCACCCAGGCAUGGCGCUGGACAGCUGACGGCCUGGACCACAGGAAGCUGGGUCCUCAGGGCCCCUGUCCCACCCGCCUCCUUCCCCUGGGGAGCCGUGCACCCUCCAUCCCACUGGCAUGUGGCCCAGACCUGGCCAAUCAACACAUCCCAAAAGGCCUGGGUAGGCCCUCAUUGGACAGGUCAGCCAAACAUUUGCAUCAGUCACAUUUGUCUGAUGAGGGCCAGCCCCAAACCUUUGCUAGACACCAGCUUUGCCUGGGCUCACUGAGCAGGAAAUGCAUCCGUGGCCGUCAGUGCCGUUUUCCUACCUUUUAGAGAAGACCUGCCUAAGAAUAAAGCCAGCACCGGUGAAGCGGGGCACCCCAUGACAUUGUUUGUGCUCCUGGGUCAAGCUGCGCCUGCAGCUAUUAUUCUUGGACUUUCAGUGUGUCUUGAGUGAAAUAAAUAUUCCUUUUCUUAAGGGAUAAGACAAUUUGACUUAGUUCCUGGAGUUAGUACCCUAACUCAUAGAGAUCUUACCCCAAAAAAAUUCCACAUGGUAAGAAGAUUAAAACCUAAAACCAAAAACCGUAACAUUACUAUAAGAAAUCAUGGAAGUUUUAAAUUUAAAUGUAUAUAUUUUUAACC